Molecule: ribosomal RNA, 460 nt
Filed under: uncultured bacterium
Lineage: Bacteria
Description: partial 16S ribosomal RNA
Rfam family: Bacterial small subunit ribosomal RNA
Source: RNAcentral
CCUACGGGGGGCAGCAGUGAGGAAUAUUGGUCAAUGGACGAGAGUCUGAACCAGCCAAGUAGCGUGAAGGAGGACUGCCCUAUGGAUUGUAAACUUCUUUUAUAAAGGAAUAAAACGAGGCACGUGUGCCCGUUUGCGUGUACCUUAUGAAUAAGGAUCGGCUAACUCCGUGCCAGCAGCCGCGGUAAUACGGAGGAUCCGAGCGUUAUCCGGAUUUAUUGGGUUUAAAGGGAGCGUAGAUGGGUUGUUAAGUCAGUUGUGAAAGUUUGCGGCUCAACCGUAAAAUUGCAGUUGAUACUGGCAGUCUUGAGUAGAGUAGAGGUAGGCGGAAUUCGUGGUGUAGCGGUGAAAUGCUUAGAUAUCACGAAGAACCCCGAUUGCGAAGGCAGCUUGCUGGACUGUAACUGACGUUGAUGCACGAAAGUGUGGGUAUCAAACAGGAUUAGAUACCCGUGUAGUC